GGCGGCGUAGCUCAGCUGGUCAGAGCAUGCGGUUCAUACCCGCAGUGUCGCUGGUUCGAAUCCAGCCGCCGCUACCACCG
This 80-nucleotide transfer RNA is filed under the name Symbiobacterium thermophilum IAM 14863. Its description in RNAcentral is "tRNA-Met". It matches the Rfam family "tRNA". Rfam says of the family: Transfer RNA (tRNA) molecules are approximately 80 nucleotides in length. Their secondary structure includes four short double-helical elements and three loops (D, anti-codon, and T loops). Further hydrogen bonds mediate the characteristic L-shaped molecular structure. tRNAs have two regions of fundamental functional importance: the anti-codon, which is responsible for specific mRNA codon recognition, and the 3' end, to which the tRNAs corresponding amino acid is attached (by aminoacyl-tRNA synthetases). tRNAs cope with the degeneracy of the genetic code in two manners: having more than one tRNA (with a specific anti-codon) for a particular amino acid; and 'wobble' base-pairing, i.e. permitting non-standard base-pairing at the 3rd anti-codon position. Lineage: Bacteria; Bacillati; Bacillota; Clostridia; Eubacteriales; Symbiobacteriaceae. The record is from RNAcentral.